Molecule: long non-coding RNA, 2564 nt
Filed under: Helianthus annuus (common sunflower)
Lineage: Eukaryota; Viridiplantae; Streptophyta; Magnoliopsida; Asterales; Asteraceae
Source: RNAcentral
ACGGAUCGCGACCUCAGCCGUUCACUUCACUUCACACGGAUCAACUUUUCAAUUCCUUUCUCUCUAACAACUCAAACAUCUCACAAAACAAUCAGACCUUCUCUCUCUCCCUCGGCGCGACUCAAGAAAACUAUGCCUGCCAUAUCUAUCACCAGAUCCGUUUCAUGACCAGAUCUGUGAGCCACCGCCUAUUCCCCUCCGCCUUGUUACGCUACUUCAAUCGCGGCUUCUCCUUCAUUCCAGGGCUUUGCUGAUGUAAGUAACAAUUGAGUCAAUAUCAAUCGGUGAUGAGUGUAGCAGUUGAUUGAAGGGUCGAAACUGAAUCACCUUUCAUGGGAUUUGAAACUCUAUGGAAUUGUUACAAUCAGAAGCAUCAAGCCCAAAGUCCUCAGUGAAAAUUACAUCAAAUUUGUUAAGUCAACAUACUUGGUGUGGUCGCUGACCCUAAUUUGAAACGGUUUCAUGGGUUUUUGUUUGUAAAGGUAUAAAUAUUUAGUAUUGCACCAUUUACCAUGAUUCUGACUAAUUUGGGCUUUGAUUUGAAGCCCUUUAUUUAUGAGUUUGCAUUUUGAUUUUGGAUCUAUUUGCUUGUUUUUCUCGAAUUUGUAAUGACUGAAAGGUAAACCCUAAGUUAGUGAUUUCAAAAGUUUAAGCUUGCUGGUUUAAUUUGAUGGGUUGGUGUUAAGCUUGGCUGAGUUUGAUACUAAUCAAUGAGCAGGUCACAUCUGUCCUAUGAUUAUCACUUCCAUUAUUUUGAUACACUAUUUUUCUAGGUGUUUUGACUGAAGUAACCACCGUUAAUAGCUGCAGAUAUUUUCGGAUCUGAAGUAUGAUAGGCCAAACGAAUUGAUGGAUCGGCAAAUUUCUAAUGAGAUAGAAGCGAUUGCGGCUUUUUAGAAAUGUUGCUCAGCCUGGUUUCAUAUAUGGAUUUAAGGAGAUUUAUGACCAUUUGGCGCUGUUGAUAGUUGAAGAGAUGAAUAUCUUAACGACGGCUUUCUGGAGAUAUGACAAUAUAAUCCGAAUUGGGGUUUGUCUACAAAGCGCAUUAGAAAUUUCUAUAGAAGUCCAGAUAUGUCAGAUGGUGUCGAAUUCUCUGACUUUACAACACCUAUUGAGAAGAUUGGGCUAUUAAAAGACAAGAUGAAAAGUAUUUGGAGUAGAAUCCCCAAUUCUGGCACCUGAAUCACAGUUUUGUCGUGAAGGAGAUCGAAAAUGUGAACAAGAUAAAAAUGGCGAUGUUUUCAAUCAUAUGAUGAAUUUUCAAGAGUUUGGUGAAAAGAACAGGAGGAGAAGUGAACUGGUUUUAGCGCUGAAGAAGUUAUUUGAAGAGCUGAAGAUCAAAUGCAAUCUUCUUCCCAAGACAUUCAUUUGCAUAAACCGGAAACUACAAGCGGGGCCACCAAAUAAUUACACAACCUUAUGUUUAAAGGUCUCCUGAUCCGGUUACCGGGACUAGAAACCGGUCUUUUACGGGAGUUAUUCUAGGCAGAAAACACGCCUGGAUAUGUGGUUUUCUUCAGUAUGUGAGUUUUUAUGGAACUGCGGUUGCUUAUGUUGUAACAACUUUGACUUAUAUGAGGGCGAUUUUGAAAGCCAACUGUUACCAUAAAGAAUGGCGUGAUGGCGAUUGCGAAUACGGUGGCAACACUUGUAUGUUGUUGUUUGGAGUAGUGUAGAUUUUAACGUCACAAAUACUGGAUUUCCAUAGCAUGGUUUUGGUGUCUGUUGUUGCGGCCAUAAUGUCCUUUUGUUACUUCUCUAUUGGUUUGGGGCUCGGUUCUGCUCCUUUAUGUUUCUAUCCCCCACUCCGGUUUUUGGUAGGGGUUUGGCGUUUUGAAAGUGACUUAAAAGUGGAGAAAACGCCAAACACCCUCUAAGAAUUCCGUGUGAUCUGAUCAUUUGAAAACACCGCAGAGAAUGGUAAGAUUGCUGGGAGCAUUAUAGGAUACCCGGCUGUUAGUGUAGCUAAUAAGUUAUGGCUAACUUUUCAAGCACUUGGAGACAUAGCAUUCGCGUAUCCAUAUGAGCUUAUUCUUUUGGAAAUUCAGGAUACUGUGAAGUCACCACCAGCGGAAAACAAGGUUACAAAACACGCUUCAGCAAUAGCGAUUCUUGCGACAAGUUUUUUCUACCUUGGAUGCUGCUGCAUUUGGGAAUGAUACACCGGGAAACCUCUUGACAGGCUUCAGGUUUUAUGAACCUUAUUGGCACGUCGCCUUUGCUAACGCCUGCAUUAUAAUGCAUCUAAUAUGAUAGAAAUGUAGAUAGUGCAAAGAAAGGCGGAAGCAUGGAGUCGAAAAUGGGUGGUUCUUGAAAUAUUCAGUGGUGUUCUGAUGGUUGUAUCGGCGGUGGCUUUAGUCGGGUCGGUAGCUGGACUCAUAGAAGCAAAGUUGAUGUAGUUAUUAGGAUGGUAACAAUGUAUUAUGCAUGGCUUAUUUGGUCUUAUAUGCCAUUAAGAAAAAUUGUAGUAUUCUAAGAGAAUAACUACAGUUUUUGUCUAGACUAAUUAAGUAAUUAUUAGAUUUACUUGAAUGUAAAAAGGUGUAAACAGGUUGCUCUUCAAU